RNAcentral lists this ribosomal RNA (440 nucleotides) under uncultured bacterium. Its description in RNAcentral is "partial 16S ribosomal RNA". It matches the Rfam family "Bacterial small subunit ribosomal RNA", at positions 338 to 795 of the family's 1533-position model. The record is from RNAcentral.
CCUACGGGAGGCAGCAGUGGGGAAUAUUGCUCAAUGGGCGCAACCCUGACGCAGCAACGCCGCGUGAAGGAAGAAGGUUUUCGGGUUGUAAACUCCUUUUGUUAGGGAAGAUAAUGACACUAUAUCUCGAGUAUACACCGGCUAACUCUGUGCCAGCAGCCGCGGUAAGACGGAGGGUGCAAGCGUUACUCGGAAUUACUGUGCGUAAAGGGCGCGUAGGCGGGAUAGCAAGUCAGAUGUGAAAUCCCACGGCUUAACCAUAGAACUGCAUUUGAAACUGUUAUUCUUGAGUAUGGGAGAGGUAGGUGGAAUUCUUGGUGUAGGGGUGAAAUGCGUAGAUAUCAAGAGGAACACUCAUGGCGAAGGCGACCUGCUAGAACAUAACUGACGGUGAGGCGCGAAAGCGUGGGGAGCAAACAGGAUUAGAUACCCCAGUAGUC